Molecule: long non-coding RNA, 735 nt
Filed under: Malus domestica (apple)
Lineage: Eukaryota; Viridiplantae; Streptophyta; Magnoliopsida; Rosales; Rosaceae
Description: long non-coding RNA (MDOM_LNC007694)
Source: RNAcentral
GAAUGCCUUGCAAGGCAAGGAAAUCAAGUAUUCUAGAACCCUAGGUGCGGCAAAGAUUAGGGAGAUCAGAUUAGGCAAUGGGCUAGGAUUUAGGUGCGGCAUUAAGUGAGGAUCCAAGAUGAAUUGGGCUAGGAAGGUGCGGCCUUGUCCAAGAGGUAAGGAUGGGUCAUCUAGAAGCCCAAAGCCAAGAAUAGAAACUCUCACAAAUGGAAACCUCCGAGAAUAGAAACUUCCAGCUUUAGAAACUUUGGUUUCUAAUUCUGAAUUCUUUGUUCUUCACUUUCAUUUCUUCAUUUCUUAAGCUCCCUUGACCUUCAAACUCGUCCAUUCCUUGUGCUCCAAGCAUGUACUUUUCAAUCCAAGCUCACUUUUUGCUCUCUAAAAUGCUCCAUUUUGCCAUCUUUUAUGUAUUAUGCCCCUUUGAACCUGAAAACACAUGAAAGUAGCUCAAAAGACUACUCUAACGAAGAAAACAUAACGAAAAUGCAUAAGAACUAGCUAGCUAAGGCGCAUAAAUAUGCUCCUAUCAAAUUCCCCCACACUUAGCUUUUGCUAGUCCUCGAGCAAAACAAAGAAACAAAAGAAAACAAAAUGAAACAAAACAAACAAAAACAACCUAAACCUUCCAACAUUUGCCUCAGGGAUUUCCAAUGCACAUGACAAAUUAAAAAUCAUCAUUCCCACAGAUUUUAGCCAUCUUUACACUUAAGCACAUACUUAAUUAUAGUUACCACG